CGACCAUCCUGACUGGGCCCCCAGUCUGAAUUUGGGGUACAAGAGAAAGGUCAUUGACAAAAAUGACAGGUACAACCGUCGCAAGGCGAGAAGCGCUGCAAACAAGAGGGCUCUGCAAGCUGCUCAAGACUGCCCCCCUUCUGCUGAGGACGGCCC
Molecule: long non-coding RNA, 156 nt
Organism: Ixodes scapularis (black-legged tick)
Lineage: Eukaryota; Metazoa; Arthropoda; Arachnida; Ixodida; Ixodidae
Exons: 3
Source: RefSeq, a predicted model, not a curated record